Molecule: transfer RNA, 89 nt
Filed under: Treponema ruminis
Lineage: Bacteria; Pseudomonadati; Spirochaetota; Spirochaetia; Treponematales; Treponemataceae
Description: Treponema sp. Ru1 tRNA
Rfam family: tRNA
About the family: Transfer RNA (tRNA) molecules are approximately 80 nucleotides in length.
Source: Rfam by way of RNAcentral
GGAGUUGUGACCGAGUGGUUUAAGGUACCGGUUUGCUAAACCGGCGAAUUUCAAUUGAGAUUCCAUUGGUUCGAAUCCAAUCAGCUCCG